This 495-nucleotide ribosomal RNA is filed under the name Maladera sp. 836977. Its description in RNAcentral is "partial 16S large subunit ribosomal RNA". It matches the Rfam family "Bacterial large subunit ribosomal RNA", at positions 1844 to 2600 of the family's 2925-position model. Lineage: Eukaryota; Metazoa; Arthropoda; Insecta; Coleoptera; Scarabaeidae. The record is from RNAcentral.
UUUAAAGUCUGAUCUGCCCUAUGAGGAAUUAAAUGGCCGCGGUACUUUGACCGUGCAAAGGUAGCAUAAUAAUUAGUUUUUUAAUUGAAAGCUGGAAUGAAUGAUUGGACGAGAAAAUAACUGUCUCAAUUUAAUUUUAUUAGAAUUUUAUUUUUAAGUAAGAAAGCUUAAAUUUUAUUAAAAGACGAGAAGACCCUAUAGAGUUUUAUAAUUAGUUUAUUAUUUAUUUUUUAGUAUAAUUUUAUUGGUAAUAGAUUAAUUAUUUUAUUGGGGUGAUAGAAAAAUUUAAUUAACUUUUUUUAUAUUAAUACAUUGAUUUAUGUUUAUAUGAUCCAUUUUUUAUGAUUAAAAGAUUAAGUUACCUUAGGGAUAACAGCGUAAUUUUUUUUUAGAGUUCUUAUCGAAAAAAAAGGUUGCGACCUCGAUGUUGGAUUAAAAUAAAUGCUUGGUGUAGGAGUUAAGCUAUUAGGUCUGUUCGACCUUUAAAAUUUUACA